UGAAUAAAAACGCCGUUCGUAGACAUUCAACACAUUACGUCCUUGUUUCGCAGUGGCAGAUCCUCUGGCGCCAUCUGUUGGCUUUGUAAGACCUCCAACACAGAAGAAGAAGAAAGUUCACGGUAACCAGGCAACCGAGGAAGCUACACAGCAAACAACAACAGCUGCUGCCGUGUAAGAAACGUCAAGUAAAAUAAAUAAACGCGCAUAUGAUCACACACCAUGUCCAGUCCAAAAUCGAUGAGCAGAGCCACAGGAUGGAGUGAAGAGGUGGAAAACCUGUUCAGGUUCCAACAGGCAGGAUACAGAGAUGAAGUGGAGUAUGUUCAAGUCAAACAUGGAGCCUCGGUGGACAAAUGGCCGGAGAGCGGCUUUGUGAAGAAGCUCCAACUCCGCGACAACACGUUUUAUUACUACAACAGGAGACGGGAGUGUCCGGACCAAGACGUCCACAAAGUCAAAGUGUACGUGUAUUAGGGUGUCCUGCACCAUCGUCAUCAUCGUCACCAUCGUCAUCAUCGUCACCAUCGUCAUCAUGAUUCCUCUGUGAAGUCCUCUGGCUGAUUACAGCACUUAGACUCUCAAGUGCUCAAACAACACCACAAGGCAAAAUAAUCAUAUAUAAACAAUAUCAUUAUACAUCAAUGCUCCUAAAUACAACAAAAGGUCUAUGUUGUUCAUUAAGAAUCUUGAAAUACUAAAUAUCAUGUUCACUGAGAGGAAAUUGAGAACUUUAAAGCACACUUACAAUAAUAUAAAUUGUGUUUUUUCUUCUA
Molecule: long non-coding RNA, 776 nt
Organism: Solea senegalensis (Senegalese sole)
Lineage: Eukaryota; Metazoa; Chordata; Actinopteri; Pleuronectiformes; Soleidae
Exons: 3
Source: RefSeq, a predicted model, not a curated record